This 497-nucleotide ribosomal RNA is filed under the name uncultured bacterium. Its description in RNAcentral is "partial 16S ribosomal RNA". It matches the Rfam family "Bacterial small subunit ribosomal RNA", at positions 28 to 507 of the family's 1533-position model. The record is from RNAcentral.
GACGAACGCUGGCGGCGUGCCUAAUACAUGCAAGUAGAACGCUGAAGAGAGGAGCUUGCUCUUCUUGGAUGAGUUGCGAACGGGUGAGUAACGCGUAGGUAACCUGCCUGGUAGCGGGGGAUAACUAUUGGAAACGAUAGCUAAUACCGCAUAAAAUUGAUUAUUGCAUGAUAAUUAAUUGAAAGAUGCAACUGCAUCACUACCAGAUGGACCUGCGUUGUAUUAGCUAGUUGGUGAGGUAACGGCUCACCAAGGCGACGAUACAUAGCCGACCUGAGAGGGUGAUCGGCCACACUGGGACUGGGACACGGCCCAGACUCCUACGGGAGGCAGCAGUAGGGAAUCUUCGGCAAUGGGGGGAACCCUGACCGGGCAACGCCGCGUGAGUGAAGAAGGUUUUCGGAUCGUAAAGCUCUGUUGUAAGAGAAGAACGGGUGUGAGAGUGGAAAGUUCACACUGUGACGGUAUCUUACCAGAAAGGGACGGCUAACUACGUG